UGCUAAGCUAACAUGAAAUGCUACCCACAGGAACUGAACCAGUGGACGUCCAGAGGUGAAAAUGGUGUCCAACAUCUGGUCUCAGUCUAGGGACGUCAGGAAAAGGUUCUUUGGUCUAAA
This is a long non-coding RNA of Myripristis murdjan (pinecone soldierfish), 120 nucleotides long. RefSeq lists it as uncharacterized. The transcript is spliced from 3 exons. Lineage: Eukaryota; Metazoa; Chordata; Actinopteri; Holocentriformes; Holocentridae. The record is from RefSeq and is a predicted model, not a curated record.